CCUACGGGUGGCUGCAGUGAGGAAUAUUGGUCAAUGGGCGCGAGCCUGAACCAGCCAAGUAGCGUGAAGGAUGACUGCCCUACGGGUUGUAAACUUCUUUUAUAAGGGAAUAAAGUGAGGCACGUGUGCCUUUUUGUAUGUACUUGAUGAAUAAGGAUCGGCUAACUCCGUGCCAGCAGCCGCGGUAAUACGGAGGAUCCGAGCGUUAUCCGGAUUUAUUGGGUUUAAAGGGAGCGUAGGCCGGUCGUUAAGCGUGCCGUGAAAUUUUGUGGCUCAACCUUUAGCGUGCGGCGCGAACUGGAAACCUUGAGUGCGCGGGAGGCAGGCGGAAUUCGUGGUGUAGCGGUGAAAUGCUUAGAUAUCACGAAGAACCCCGAUUGCGAAGGCAGCAUACUAGACUGCCACUGACAUUGAUGCUCGAAAGUGUGGGUAUCAAACAGGAUUAGAUACCCUUGUAGUC
This 460-nucleotide ribosomal RNA is filed under the name uncultured bacterium. RNAcentral describes it as "partial 16S ribosomal RNA". It matches the Rfam family "Bacterial small subunit ribosomal RNA", at positions 338 to 795 of the family's 1533-position model. The record is from RNAcentral.